RNAcentral lists this ribosomal RNA (689 nucleotides) under Escherichia coli. RNAcentral's name for it is "partial 23S ribosomal RNA". It matches the Rfam family "Bacterial large subunit ribosomal RNA", at positions 2242 to 2925 of the family's 2925-position model. Lineage: Bacteria; Pseudomonadati; Pseudomonadota; Gammaproteobacteria; Enterobacterales; Enterobacteriaceae. RNAcentral also lists the same sequence under 5 other names. The record is from RNAcentral.
GGGUUGCGGACAGUGUCUGGUGGGUAGUUUGACUGGGGCGGUCUCCUCCUAAAGAGUAACGGAGGAGCACGAAGGUUGGCUAAUCCUGGUCGGACAUCAGGAGGUUAGUGCAAUGGCAUAAGCCAGCUUGACUGCGAGCGUGACGGCGCGAGCAGGUGCGAAAGCAGGUCAUAGUGAUCCGGUGGUUCUGAAUGGAAGGGCCAUCGCUCAACGGAUAAAAGGUACUCCGGGGAUAACAGGCUGAUACCGCCCAAGAGUUCAUAUCGACGGCGGUGUUUGGCACCUCGAUGUCGGCUCAUCACAUCCUGGGGCUGAAGUAGGUCCCAAGGGUAUGGCUGUUCGCCAUUUAAAGUGGUACGCGAGCUGGGUUUAGAACGUCGUGAGACAGUUCGGUCCCUAUCUGCCGUGGGCGCUGGAGAACUGAGGGGGGCUGCUCCUAGUACGAGAGGACCGGAGUGGACGCAUCACUGGUGUUCGGGUUGUCAUGCCAAUGGCACUGCCCGGUAGCUAAAUGCGGAAGAGAUAAGUGCUGAAAGCAUCUAAGCACGAAACUUGCCCCGAGAUGAGUUCUCCCUGAGACUUAGAGUCUCCUGAAGGAACGUUGAAGACGACGACGUUGAUAGGCCGGGUGUGUAAGCGCAGCGAUGCGUUGAGCUAACCGGUACUAAUGAACCGUGAGGCUUAACCUU